This 209-nucleotide long non-coding RNA is filed under the name Homo sapiens (human). RNAcentral describes it as "non-protein coding lnc-MEAF6-6:1". Lineage: Eukaryota; Metazoa; Chordata; Mammalia; Primates; Hominidae. The record is from RNAcentral.
CCAGCAGGGCCUAGAGAUGCCAGGGGAGGACUCUAGGUGGCAACAAUACAUUGUUGAGCAGCAGCAGCUCCACUUGCAGAGGAGGUAGGUGGCUGCUGAGGAGGGAGGGGCUUUUGCUUUGUCCCCCUCAGCGUUCUAAGAACAUGGUGGCCUGAGCCUGGGAGCUGGAAGGGCUGCCUGUGGUGUGGUCCAUGUGUGUGCACUUAAGU